CCGGACCGGCGCACGGGUGAGCAACCACGUAUGCAACCUGGCCGCCACAGGGGGAUAACCCGCGGAAACGCGGCCUAAUACCCCGUGACGCCACCGGAGGGCAUCCUCCGGUGGCCAAAGGAGCGAUCCGGUGGCGGAUGGGCAUGCGGCGCAUUAGCUAGACGGCGGGGUGACGGCCCACCGUGGCGACGAUGCGUAGGGGUUCUGAGAGGAAGGCCCCCCACACUGGGACUGAGACACGGCCCAGACUCCUACGGAAGGCAGCAG
This 267-nucleotide ribosomal RNA is filed under the name uncultured bacterium. Its description in RNAcentral is "partial 16S ribosomal RNA". It matches the Rfam family "Bacterial small subunit ribosomal RNA", at positions 90 to 354 of the family's 1533-position model. The record is from RNAcentral.